AUGCUGACGAGCGGCGGACGGGUGAGUAACGCGUAGGAAUCUACCCAGUAGCGGGGGAUAGCUUGGGGAAACUCGGAUUAAUACCGCAUACGCCCUAAGGGGGAAAGGCCGGGAUCUUCGGACCGGUCGCUAUUGGAUGAGCCUGCGUUAGAUUAGCUAGUUGGUAGGGUAAAGGCCUACCAAGGCGACGAUCUAUAGCUGGUCUGAGAGGAUGAUCAGCCACACUGGGACUGAGACACGGCCCAGACUCC
Molecule: ribosomal RNA, 251 nt
Filed under: uncultured bacterium
Lineage: Bacteria
Description: partial 16S ribosomal RNA
Rfam family: Bacterial small subunit ribosomal RNA
Source: RNAcentral